AGGGGCAGCAUGAAGUUUGCUUGCAAACUUUGAUGGCGACCGGCGCACGGGUGAGUAACGCGUAUCCAACCUUCCCUAUAGUAGAGAAUAGCCCGGCGAAAGUCGGAUUAAUGCUCUAUGUUAUUCAAAGCGGACAUCUAAUUUGAAUCAAAGGUUCACCGCUAUAGGAUGGGGAUGCGUCUGAUUAGCUUGAUGGCGGGGUAACGGCCCACCAUGGCGACGAUCAGUAGGGGUUCUGAGAGGAAGGUCCCCCACAUUGGAACUGAGACACGGUCCAAACUCCUACGGGAGGCAGCAGUGAGGAAUAUUGGUCAAUGGGCGAGAGCCUGAACCAGCCAAGUAGCGUGCAGGAUGACGGCCCUAUGGGUUGUAAACUGCUUUUAUGCGGGGAUAAAGUCGGCUACGCGUAGCCGUUUGUAGGUACCGCAUGAAUAAGGACCGGCUAAUUCCGUGCCAGCAGCCGCGGUAAUACGGAAGGUCCGGGCGUUAUCCGGAUUUAUUGGGUUUAAAGGGAGCGCAGGCCGGAGGUCAAGCGUGACGUGAAAUGUAGCCGCUCAACGGCUGAGUUGCGUCGCGAACUGGUUUCCUUGAGUGAGUACGACGUCAGCGGAAUUCGUGGUGUAGCGGUGAAAUGCUUAGAUAUCACGAAGAACCCCGAUUGCGAAGGCAGCUGACGAGUCCUUUACUGACGCUAAAGCUCGAAGGUGCGGGUAUCGAACAGGAUUAGAUACCCUGGUAGUCCGCACGGUAAACGAUGGAUGCCCGCUGUUUGCGAUAUAUUGUAAGCGGCCAAGCGAAAGCGUUAAGCAUCCCACCUGGGGAGUACGCCGGCAACGGUGAAACUCAAAGGAAUUGACGGGGGCCCGCACAAGCGGAGGAACAUGUGGUUUAAUUCGAUGAUACGCGAGGAACCUUACCCGGGCUUGAACUGCAGGAGAACGAUCCAGAGAUGGUGAGGCCCUUCGGGGCUCCUGUGGAGGUGCUGCACGGUUGUCGUCAGCUCGUGCCGUGAGGUGUCGGCUUAAGUGCCAUAACGAGCGCAACCCCUUUCGCCAGUUGCCAUCAGGUGAUGCUGGGCACUC
This 1082-nucleotide ribosomal RNA is filed under the name uncultured bacterium. RNAcentral describes it as "bacterial SSU rRNA". It matches the Rfam family "Bacterial small subunit ribosomal RNA", at positions 65 to 1140 of the family's 1533-position model. The record is from RNAcentral.